CCCAUAUCACAUUGAAGCACUGGUCCCCAUACAAUCAUCAAAGUUAAGCAACAUGGAACCUAGUUAGUACCUAGAUGGGUGACUGCUUGGGAAUACUAGGUGUUGUAAG
Acanthosepion pharaonis is the source of this 109-nucleotide non-coding RNA. Lineage: Eukaryota; Metazoa; Mollusca; Cephalopoda; Sepiida; Sepiidae. The record is from the annotation of a GenBank genome assembly.